Long non-coding RNA from Sphaerodactylus townsendi, 2167 nucleotides. RefSeq lists it as uncharacterized. Lineage: Eukaryota; Metazoa; Chordata; Lepidosauria; Squamata; Sphaerodactylidae. The transcript is spliced from 2 exons. The record is from RefSeq and is a predicted model, not a curated record.
CGUUACACGGGGCGAAGCUGGUAUAAAACCACGUCGAUCCCAGUGGUUGUGCGGAGCACUUAGGUCGAACACAGCUCGAACUUAGGUCGAUAACGCAAGUGUGGAAUCGACCUAUGACAGCCCUUCAGGUACUCUCAGUUGUUUCCUGUCCAAGCUAAACAUACCCAGCUUCUUCCUUCUACAACAUGCUCUCCAGUCUCCUCACCAUCUUCACUGCCCUCCUUUGGACAUAUUCCAAUUGAUCCGAACCUCCUUAAACUGUGGAGCCCAAAACAACAGAAUAUUCCAGGUGAGGUCUAACCAGAACAGAGUAAAGCAAUACUAUCCCUUUGCAUGAUCUGGAUACUAUACUUCUGUUGAUACAGUUCAAAAAUCACAUUUGCCUUUUUAGCUGCUGCAUCAUAUUGACAACUCAUGUUCAAUGCAUAGUCUACUAAGACCCUUAGGUCCUUUUUGCAUAUACUACUGCCACAAAAUCUCCCCCAUCCAAUAAUUAUGCAUUUGAUGUUUCCUGCUGAAAUUCAGAACUUUGCAUUUAUCUCUGUUGAAAUUUAUUGUAUGUAUUGUUGAAGGCUUUCACGGCCGGUAUCAAUUGGCUAUUGUGGGUUUCUUGGGCUGUGUGAUUGUGAUCUAGUAGUUUUUCCUCCUACAAAAGAGAAACACAUCUCACCGUGAAAUCCCUGUGAAGCUGCCAGUCACAGAUGCAGGUAAAGCAUUAGGAGCAGAAACUUCUAGACUGGCAGCCACGCAGAUCAGAAAACCCACAACACCCAGAAAUUCAUUUUAUUUGUGUUAGCCCAGCCUGUCAAGAUCAUCCUGUAUCCUGAUUCCUUCUUCUAUCAUAUUUGUUACCUCUCCCAAUUUAGUAUUGUCUACAAAUUUAAUAAGAUUCCCAUCUAUUCCUUCAUCCAAAUCAUUUAUGCAGAUGUAUAGGCCCCAGGACAGAUCCCUGACGCACUCAUCAUUCCUCUCCAAGAGGAUGAGGAGCCAUUAAGAAGUGAUCCUUGAUCACUGAUCUUAUAUCUAAUAAGUAUAGCCUCAUCUGAAGUUACCUGCCACCUAGAAUGUCUGGGAUCUCAGAUAUCUGGGGUUGCAGACCCCUGCAUUAGAAUAACCAUUCUAAUGCAGCCUUCACAAUUGCAGGGCAGAUUGUCAUGGGGAGUGGAUUUACAGAAUGGAUUACAGCAGAAAAUUGGGGAUUGUUUGUGAAUCUGUGAAUGUAUGAGGAUCUCAUAAGAGAUGUGAAUAAGCAGUCAGUGAUUCUGAUGAAGUGCAGUUUGAUAAGACACACAAAACAAGCAUUUACAUCUGGAGGCUCGUAAACAAGAAAAGACAUUAAGAAUUGUGUGUAUAUAUUUAUUAGGGACUGCUGUACAGGAUUUCAAACAAUUAUUUGUGAAGACUACAUUAUAUUAUACAUUGUAUGUCAUACAUUGUAUAUCGCUUAUUGCUGGAGAUAGUGUCAUUUAGUAUAUGAAAGCAUCUUUUUGUAUUACUGGUAUGGAUUUUGUAUAAUUCAAGAUAGCCUGAUUACAGCAUCUGUAGUAUUUGUUGGCUUUGUGUUCUGUAAUCCCUCUUUUUUUGUGUGUGCGGUUACAUCAGAAUAACCAUUCCACAUUAGACCAUCGUGCCACACUUAAUCCCUUUCAGACAAAAGACAGUCGGGUUUGGGACAAACCACAUAUCUGUCAUGGAGGAUCAGAGCCAUUACCGGAUUCUUGAUGCAGUGGAUCUAUAUUUUGUAAGUCUCCAGUUGAUGACAGUAGCCCCUAACAUCAGAAAUGGUACUUCGCAUGGGAUUCACUAAAUUCUUAGAGAAGACGCAGACUUAAGUCCAAGUCCAUUGGCCAUAAAUAUCUUUUGGAACUUUCCCUAGCAUUCAGUUUUUAGUCUUCGGCCAGAAUUGGGGGUCCCUAGGAGGUUGAGUAGGAGUUAAGGAUUCUUCCAAGAUCUUGUUACUGCAAGGAACUCUGCAUAUGCUCUGAUGAACUUGCUAUAGCCUAGGUAAUGUGUACUUAGCUGAGUUAGUCCAAAUUUAUUGCUUCAUAUUUGAAAAUCACAGUGCUGAGUGUUGUAUGCCUUCCUUGUGCUUGGCUUUUGCUUUUUUUUCUUACCACUUCGCUUGAAUCCAACCAUCCUCUUCUAUAAUAAACCUUUUUAUACAGAC